Molecule: ribosomal RNA, 288 nt
Filed under: uncultured bacterium
Lineage: Bacteria
Description: partial 16S ribosomal RNA
Source: RNAcentral
CUGCUGCCUUCCGUAGGAGUCUGGUCCGUGUCUCAGUACCAGUGUGGGGGGCCUUCCUCUCAGAACCCCUACGCAUCGUCGGAACGGUGGUCCGUCACACCGCCGUCUUCCUAAUGCGCCGCAUGCCCAUCCCCGCCCGCCCAAAAGGGCUUUCCUCCCCCGGGGAUGCCCCCAGGGGAUGUACGCGGUAUCAGCCCCCCUUUCGGAGGGUUUGUACCCCUGGCGGGGGCAGGUUGCAUACGUGUUACUCACCCGUGCGCCGGUCGCCGGCGGGACGCGCAAGCGCCG